GACGAACGCUGGCGGCGUGCCUAACACAUGCAAGUCGAACGGUGAAGCGCGUUCCAUUUUGGCGGGUGUGGGUGAGGGGCGAAAGGGUGAGUAAAACGUGAGAAACAUGCCCCCAAAUGCGGGAUAAUAGCAUGAAAGUGCGGCUAAUAAGGGAUAUACCGGGUUUGUCGCAUGAUGGGUCGGGGAAAGAAGUUGUUACGGUGGAGGAUGGGCUAGGGGACUAUCAGCUUGUUGGUGGGGUGAUGGACUACCAAGGCGGUGACGGGUAGCCGGCCUGAGAGGGUGGACGGUCACACGGGGGCUGAGACACGACCCAGACUCCUACUGGAGGCAGCAGUGGGGACUAUUGCACAAUGUGCGCAAGCCUGAUGCAGCGACGCCGCGUGAGGGAUGGAUGCCUUCGGGUUGUGAACCUCUUUCGCCAGUGAAGCAGGCCUGCCUCGUUUGUGGGUGGGUUGACGGUAGCUGGAUAAGAAGCGCCGGCUAACUACGUG
Molecule: ribosomal RNA, 494 nt
Filed under: uncultured bacterium
Lineage: Bacteria
Description: partial 16S ribosomal RNA
Rfam family: Bacterial small subunit ribosomal RNA
Source: RNAcentral